CAUAAAGCCGUGGAUUGUUGGCUAAGGGAGGUGACUGUUGCUCGGGGAUUAGCUGAGUAUUACUGGGAGUCAGCUGGCAGUAAGAAGGUCUAGCAGGACAAGUAUUAGCCAUCCAGGAAAAUUCAAAGAAGCACAGCUAUCUACAAGCCAUUUAAAAAUGCCUAGAAAGCCUUGGACAAGAAGAACAUGGAAUUAAUGAAAGAGCUGCAGAAUAGAAAGCUGAAAAUUUGACAGAAUAAAUCCUCUAGCUGGGUUCAUGUUCUCAGCAGAUCACGUACAAAUGGGACCUACAGUAUAGUCAGUGGGCUAUAAACACAUCUGCCAAUGAAAAUUACUUGGAUAUAC
This 345-nucleotide long non-coding RNA is filed under the name Gallus gallus (chicken). RNAcentral's name for it is "long non-coding RNA NONGGAT003837". Lineage: Eukaryota; Metazoa; Chordata; Aves; Galliformes; Phasianidae. The record is from RNAcentral.